UCCAGGCCCUACGGGGCGCAGCAGUCGCGAAACCUUUGCAAUACACGAAAGUGUGACAGGGCUAUCCCGAGUGCCAUCCGCUGAGGAAGGCUUUUACCCAGUCUAGAACGCUGGGGGAAUAAGGAGAGGGCAAGUCUGGUGUCAGCCGCCGCGGUAAUACCAGCUCUCCGAGUGGUGUGGAUGUUUAUUGGGCCUAAAGCAUCCGUAGCUGGCUAGGUAAGUCCUUUGUUAAAUCCACCGAAUUAAUCGUUGGAUCGCGGGGGAUACUGCUUGGCUAGGGGACGAGAGAGGCAGACGGUAUUUUCGGGGUAGGGGUGAAAUCCUAUAAUCCCGGGAAGACCACCAGUGGCGAAGGCUGUCUGCUAGAACGCGCCCGACGGUGAGGGAUGAAAGCUGGGGGAGCGAACCGGAUUAGAUACCCGGGUAGUCCCAGCUGUAAACGAUGCAGACUAGGUGUUUGGACGGCCACGUGCCGUUCUAGUGCCGCAGGGAAGCUGUUAAGUCUGCCGCCUGGGGAGUACGAUCGCAAGAUUGAAACUUAAAGGAAUUGGCGGGGGAGCACCACAAGGGGUGAAGCUUGCGGUUUAAUUGGAGUCAACGCCGGG
Molecule: ribosomal RNA, 605 nt
Filed under: uncultured crenarchaeote
Lineage: Archaea; Thermoproteati; Thermoproteota
Description: bacterial SSU rRNA
Rfam family: Archaeal small subunit ribosomal RNA
Source: RNAcentral